CUGGACCUGGAUCGUGGUUGUAGGCCUGGGCCUGGUGGGCCUGGGACUAGCGGUCCUGUUCCCGCUGGUCUUGA
Molecule: transfer RNA, 74 nt
Filed under: Dictyobacter halimunensis
Lineage: Bacteria; Bacillati; Chloroflexota; Ktedonobacteria; Ktedonobacterales; Dictyobacteraceae
Description: Dictyobacter sp. S3.2.2.5 tRNA-Thr
Source: RNAcentral